Molecule: non-coding RNA, 3136 nt
Organism: Vicugna pacos (alpaca)
Lineage: Eukaryota; Metazoa; Chordata; Mammalia; Artiodactyla; Camelidae
Source: RefSeq, a predicted model, not a curated record
UCUCAAUUCCGUCUUUCCAAAGUGGAGGAAUAGCAUAAGGCAGACUCAGAGGAGCCAGUGUUAAAAUAACAUAACACAUGGGGCCAGUCUUUCAUUGACAACUAAUAAUUGAUAAUUUCUUCUAAUGAGUUUUAGCUCAAGAAGUUUCCCCUGGACUAAGGAGGAUGGCAAGUCCCACAACCACAGCACACACAGUAAAUAGGCCUCACCUCUAUCCUUACUGUCUAUGCCCUUCAGUUCUCCACAGGCCAGGUUUAAAACUCCUAAUUCUACUCUCAUCCUUUUUGAUAAAAAAAUCAAAUGCAUUUUGGAUCUUCAUAUGGAAUUAGAUAUUGUAAUGGAAAGAAUGAAACCCAAAGGGUCUGGAUCUGCCAUUGUGUAACCUGAAAUAGGCAUUUAACCUUCAGAGUCUUAGUAGUUUCCUCAUGUGUGAAUUCAGACUUUCAGAUUAAUGAAGCUUCAGUGGCCUAUACACCCUGUUUGGUGAGUCUAUUAUUCUAACACAUUUCUGUGUAAUUAUGUUGCCUAUGCAGGGAAUUCCAGUGUAAAAAGAAAGUCCAGUGGAUAUAGACUAUUUCAAUAAUGGCCCUUUUGUUACUUAGAUGUAAAUUUACCUACUUGUUCAGUUUGGAAAUCAGUUUGCUUAUGCUACCUUCUGUUUGUCUUUAGCUUCUUCUGUGCUGUAUCUUUCUUAUCCCUAUGAAUGCAAAUUACUGACUACCUGAAAUUUAUUUUAUAAGCAACAAGCUUAAAAAUUUGCAUAAUUCUUAUGUUUGGCAAAACUCUGCAGAGGAAGAUAAUGUAUUGAAAAGAAAUAGGCUUGGUUUUGGGAAUACUUCCAAUUUUGAUUCCUUGGCAGGGUUGGACUUCCACUGGAAAAUAAAAUUAGCCAAAGCUUUAGCUCAAAAUCUUUUGAAAGAUAAAGCUAUGGGGAUUACUCUAAUGUAUUCAAGGUGUCCAUGUACUUUGAGUACAGCUAAUAAUAAGCUCCUUGGAAAAUAUGAUGAAGACACUGGCAGAUUAUCAAAGUUCAACAAAAUCAACUUCAUGUACAUCCAAGACUACCAUUUCCAAAAUAGGCUGGUGGAUUGAGGUUUACUGUUUCAUUUGGAAUGGUAACUAUCAGAGUGUGGGAGGCACUUUUCAUAAUCACAGGGAUGGGACAGUAAGCUUUGCCUCCUACAUUCAGUAUGUGUCCUGAUGCUGCUUUGUCUUUGCAUCUGAAAUUCCAAGUAGCUUCCUCCAAAGCAAAAGGCCACCCAGGAGCUGGAAUGAAAGGAGAAUGCAGUAAAAUGCAGUGGAAGCUUUCUUGAUCCAAUUAAAGGCUCAUUGAUGGACUCAGGAGACAAAGAUCUAGAAGAUAAAAUAUGAGGCUCGGGACUAACAGUCCUUUAAGAGGCCAUGUAGAACCUCUACCCUGCAGGGGGCCAAACUUCCUCUCCACCUACUGUCCUUCCCUCUGUCUUCAUUCUGUGUGAAACACCAUCAGUUGAUGGAUGGCACUUCUACCAGAGACACAUCUGGGGGCAGAUUUAUCACAAAGCUAAUGAAAUUUAUGCUUCAGAGACUUUCACUUGAAUAUACUAUUUUCAAGGUCAUCUGGGCAGGACUUAGCAAUGUUUUCAUGUAGUUAUGUGUUUUUGCUGUAAAAUUUGUAAAAGGAAGAUGCUUUCACUGAAACCAGUUAGGAUUUUUGUCUCUCUUUCCCUUGUCUCCAUUUCUCUCCUGCUGGGUAGCAUUGGAAUGGAUAUUAUGAGCAUAUGAGUUACGGGAAACUGAGUUUGGAAUUUAUUUAGGAUUUGGUGGUAUGCAUUUUCUGUGGUUUGCAGUCACUUCUAUGUAUUAUUAAGUUAUGACUGGCUACUCCAAUGUACUACUGCCUUUCAAGGAAUGUCUUUACUGGUCCCUGCACUGACUGGCCUUGUGCUGUGCAUGAAUCAGCAAGGCCCACUGUCUGCUUAUGAUAUGAAUGUGUUUGAUAGCUCUUGGUAAUGGAAUUUUGUGAACUGUGGAAGCAAAACAACGUUUGAAAUCUAUGGAGUCAAAUAGUAGUUUGUGAAUAAUUUCUAAUUAUGAGAUGCAUCAAGUUACAUGCUGACCAUGCGUUUCCUUUUGUUCUCUUCUCAGGAAAACAAUAUGCCAUAUAUUCACUUAAAACACAAUGUAAUUUAUUUUCUCUUUUGAUAGGAAUCAUGAGAAACAGAAUUUAUCAGGUGGCUAGUAUUUCUUGGGUUAAUAUUACAAAGAGCAAGUAUAAAUGUGUAUUCAGUCACAUGUUUGGGCGUCUCAGCUGUAAGUAACCUAAAAGAAAUUUUGUUCAGCCCAGCCAGAGAAAGACUGAUUAUCUUUCUCUUUUCCCUGUAAAAAAUGGUUUUACAAAAUUUUUGUCAUUUGAAGGAGUAAUCAAAUACUAUAAAGCCAAAAUAUGCAGAAAAUAAGUAUUACAGAAGUGUGUUUUUUUGACAUUUGUGAUAUUUGUUGGCUUUUAAAACAUGUAAACCAUUGUGCUUUCUCUCACUCUAAAUGAAUAAUUACCUUCAUACCUUAGAUCUUUUAUUUAAUAAUGGCUCACUUUUUAUAAGUAUCAGUCCCCACAAUCUUUUUCUUGUCCUUCCUGGGGGAGCUAAAUGGAGGAUGUUAAAAUGUCUAAAAUAUUUAACUAAAAAAUAACGUGGUUCUGGGAGAAUGUCUCUAAAUCUGUGUAAGGCAGAUGAAACUGUACCAGUUCUGUUUUUCAAUUUCAUCCUCUCUCUCUCUCUCAUACCCACCCCCCACCCACACACACACAGAGGCUGUCUAGGCUCUUCAUACCUUAGAGAACAGAAGGGAUGUUCUCUCCAUUCAACACUGUAAUUUGCAGAGACAAUCACUAAGCCUCAGUGGAAGAACUCUACAGGAACUUUGUUUUCUUGUUUCCACAAAAGGCCAAAUAAUACUUCCCCUCUAUUGACUCCACAUCUACGUGGAAAGUUCACCCUUCUCAAGCCUCUAUGUCCCUAAACAAUGUUUAUCUGCUCUGGGUUUCUGAGUGUGAUCUUUAAACUCCUCUUACAUUUCUGAGCAGCUGUCCUUAAUUAUUUAUGCUGUAGAUGCUAACCAGGACCACAGUGCAAAAUCACGCAGAAGAAAGGUUCUG